Non-coding RNA from Caenorhabditis elegans, 21 nucleotides. NCBI's taxonomy places the organism in Eukaryota, Metazoa, Nematoda, Chromadorea, Rhabditida, Rhabditidae. The record is from Ensembl.
UGAUUGUGUUGUUCAUUGUGU